UCCCACGGGAGAGGUCCGUCCUUGAGAGACACCCCGUCCCCUGGCGCAGCACCCCGCAGGGCCGGGGGCUCCGCUCCGCUCCGCACGGCGCGUGGUGCCCCUGGGGCCGCGCGGCAGCACGCGGCACACCCGCCCCGAUGCGGGAGGCGGGGGCGCAGGGCGGGCGGCACAGCCCCGCAGCCCGGCUGGAGCGCGCCGCGUGGGCCACCCCGCGCAGGACCACUAGCCCCCUGGCUUUAUCUCCCGGACGGUGCUUGAGGGCGCAGGGAGCUUUUGUCAGCAUUGCGGUGUAGCGCCCGCCGUGGUCUGUGAAAGCCCCUUGCAAUAUGUGGACCUUGUGGCGGUUUUCGCGCUGAAAAAAUACUUGACUUCAAAUGCUGUAUGAGGAAAGCCUCCUACGUAGCUCUUGAUGAAACUGACACAAAGCACGAAGCCGUUACUAGUGGCAGGUUUAGCUUUCGUGCAAGCAGACGGGUCUCGGUGUUUUCCUGAAAGACAACUUGCUGCUCGCAGAACUGCUGCAUAGUGACAGAGGACUGCAUUGUGCGUACCGCGCUGAGACACGGAUAAAUGAUCACCAGGCUCUGAUUGCAUGCACUGUCAAUCACACAGGGUUGUGUGGAGCUGGAUAUGAGUUCAACUGGGUCCAACAGCUUUUGGGGGAAGAAGUGUUUCAGUGCAGGAGAAAUGCUCUUCCAUUGUCAUGCAGCCUGAUUUAUUGGGCCAAAUGUUGUUCUGACUUGCCAUAUGCCAUCUGACAUCAGGUGCACUAAAUGGAGCAAGAGAGAACACAGAACGGGCUCCUCACCAUCAGGAAGAGAUGCAAUUAAGGCAAACGAGAUGUAGCCCUUCCCUGGUUGGUUGUAAGCCUAAUUAAAGUAGCAGAACAGUCCAAUCAGGAAUAUAUCUGUAUUGACAUGAUUAUUGGGUUUUUAAAAAAAAACAUGGGCAUUCUCAUUUUGGGUGGCAUAUAUUGCAUCGAUAA
Molecule: long non-coding RNA, 985 nt
Organism: Falco peregrinus (peregrine falcon)
Lineage: Eukaryota; Metazoa; Chordata; Aves; Falconiformes; Falconidae
Exons: 2
Source: RefSeq, a predicted model, not a curated record